GUAUGUAUAGCUCAGUGGUAGAGCGUUCGACUGAAGAUCGAGAGGUCCCCGGUUCGAAUCAGUGUGUUUUCU
This 72-nucleotide transfer RNA is filed under the name Diabrotica virgifera virgifera (western corn rootworm). It matches the Rfam family "tRNA". Rfam says of the family: Transfer RNA (tRNA) molecules are approximately 80 nucleotides in length. Their secondary structure includes four short double-helical elements and three loops (D, anti-codon, and T loops). Lineage: Eukaryota; Metazoa; Arthropoda; Insecta; Coleoptera; Chrysomelidae. The record is from Rfam by way of RNAcentral.